Bactrocera oleae (olive fruit fly) is the source of this 1335-nucleotide non-coding RNA. The record is from RefSeq and is a predicted model, not a curated record. NCBI's taxonomy places the organism in Eukaryota, Metazoa, Arthropoda, Insecta, Diptera, Tephritidae.
UUGUCAAAAGUAAUCGCUCCUGACAGUGAAUGCAGUGACGGCAGCACACUUUUGGUGAACUUACCAUGUACAUGCAACAACCGCCGUCUGGCUAGGAUCUGCUCAACAUGCGCUUGGCGAACAAUUAAUUAGGAAACGAAAUUAAGUGAAAUCGCUUGAGGCGAACAUGCCACUGGUUCGAAUGGAAAGCUCCAGCUGCGCUCCGUUGGGACUACAGACACCAAGCAGCAACAUGGAAGCGAUGUUGAAAAGCAAAAAAAAAAAACGUGUGUCCUGCUGUGCUUACAGUGAACGUAAAGAACAACGAUUGGAGUCGCACUUGUGCUAGCUGUAAAAGUCAGACAGCAAUCGAAAACAGGCGAACGACAUCAGCAUUCAACAGCAGCAGUGGCAGUUGGUCGAAUGAGCUUGUAAUUAAGUUCGGUUUCCAGUUGGCGAUUCUACUUGUAAUACAUGCCAAUAUAAAAACAAAAAACAAAAAAACAAAAAAAAAUAUGUUGUAGCCUAAGCCCAGAAAAACCCGCCCAAAACAGCCAGGGAAAUGGCAUUGCAGUUAGAAGAGGAAUAAGCAUUUCAUUUGCUUGUCGACAGCGUACACAGUAGCCCAAGUUUGCUGCAAACAUGCCAGUCACAGUUGCAACAACAGUUCUAUUAGUUUGUCCCCGCCUAUUGAUAAACGCGCAGAAUGCUGUUUGAAUUAGCUGCUUGCCAGCCGCCGCACGUUUCACGAUUGUAGAUCACAGGAAACAUGUUAAUCCAUCUGAGUGCCCUCGAUGGCGAAUGCACGGUAAGCUAGGAAUGUGCCUGUGACUUGACAGUUCAUGACACCGUCCGUGCAAGGCAACAUGACAUUUGACAGUCGAAAUGUCCGCUGGCCGUUGGCCGAUCAGUGUUUCAGGACGAGGGCGCAGCGUCGACAAGUCUGGGAUUUCAAUUGGCAAUUAGAAAUUGGCAUCAGGCGCGAUAUUAGUGCUGAUGUGACACAGCGAGCGGCAGAGUGGCAGUUGCAACAUGCACUUUACAUGCAUUGCGCGAAUUGACAAGAUGGCAAGAUACGCGAGACGCGAUACGCAUCAGCUGAUGAGGCAAUGGGAGCUGUUACAACCCGAGCGCCACAAAUGUCAAAUGCCAGGUGAUGACAGAGCCGAUUCGGAAGAUAACAUAGAAGCACAGCGAUGCGCACUUGUGUAGUUGAGAUUUAAAUGCGAUAAACUGUGAUCGGAUGUGUAAGAAUAUUUGAGAUGCACAUGUGAGCGGAAAUAGAUAUACGUAUACUUGUAUAUGCAAAAAUGAUGUCUUUAUUAAAUGUUUGCUUAUAUUUUGAGAAAUACAAAA